RNAcentral lists this small RNA (236 nucleotides) under Arabidopsis thaliana (thale cress). RNAcentral describes it as "ATSL284060". Lineage: Eukaryota; Viridiplantae; Streptophyta; Magnoliopsida; Brassicales; Brassicaceae. The record is from RNAcentral.
UUAGGAAUACAAUUUGUGAGAUGAUAUUAUAACUGAAAGUUAACGCCGUGAUUGUUUGGUUGACGAAAACUUAACGAUAUUAUGCCUUAAAUAACCAAAUCAACGAAACUUGAUCAUUUUAUCAAAAGUCAAACUAAACUUUAUGAUUUAAAUGAUUUUUCGAAAGUUUAUGUUUUUUUCGUCUCAAAUUUAAAAAUUCGUACUUUUUUCGAUAUUUUUCCUAUUUAUUUUCUAAU